This is a long non-coding RNA of Vitis vinifera (wine grape), 932 nucleotides long. RefSeq lists it as uncharacterized. The record is from RefSeq and is a predicted model, not a curated record. The transcript is spliced from 4 exons. Lineage: Eukaryota; Viridiplantae; Streptophyta; Magnoliopsida; Vitales; Vitaceae.
UUCAUCCAUUGGAUGAAAAUGAUUAAAUCUCAGCCAUCCAAAAUGAAAAAAAAAAAAAAAAAUUCAAAAAAAAUUCUCCCGGGUACCUUCCCCUCCGGUUCCCCCCAUCUCUCCUCCUUUUCCCCUUUUCCCCCCCUAAUUUGCUGUUUUGCUCUCUUCCCAAGCCAACUUCCUCAGCUCACCCGUUUCCCGCCCCUCCAUAGCUGGGUGUCUCGCGCAUCCUCCAUAGCCGACUUCCUCAGCUCACCCAUUUGCCGACUUCCUCAUCUUUGUUUGCCGACUUCCUCCAUAGCUCACCCAUUUCCCGCUGUCAUCUUUGUUUUCUCUCCCUUUUCCCGUUUUUCUCUCCAGUGAUUGUCCACAGCUGGGUGAAGACCACGGUCGGCUUCAACCGGGCCAACCUCUUCGAGGCCGACGUCGCAGACCUUAUCAAAGACGUCUCCACAGCUAGGUGGAGACCACCUUCGCCGUCAGUCGGGAUCAAAGACGUCUUCACAGGUGGGUGGAGACCACCAUUGCCGUGAAUCGGGCCAACCUCCUCCAAGUCGACGUCUUGACCUCAUCAAAGAAGUCUCCCUCAAGGACCGCGAGCUCAGGAUUGUGGGCGAGGUCGGUGCCAAGAUCCGAGUCUUAGACUUCAUUUCUCCCGAUGUCCAGGUUCUAAAUUUAAUGGUUUAAAAACCCGAAUUGAAGACGUAGUUGGAAGAAGAAGAAGAGGACGUGUAGUACUAAGGAAAAGAAAGCUGAGAAGGACACAAUUGUUUGUUACUCAAAAGACGCUUGUAUCCUAAUUAUUUGGCGAGUUCUAUAUAAAGGGAAAAAAAUGAGCGAAUGCGAUGGUCUUGAAGUUAUUAGAAAUCCAAAGAGGCCUAUCGGCGCUUGGAUACAUUACUAUAACGAUCAAUUAGCCAUGAUGAAAGAGAAGGACAAAG